RNAcentral lists this transfer RNA (69 nucleotides) under Marmota marmota marmota (Alpine marmot). It matches the Rfam family "tRNA". From Rfam's summary of the family: Transfer RNA (tRNA) molecules are approximately 80 nucleotides in length. Their secondary structure includes four short double-helical elements and three loops (D, anti-codon, and T loops). RNAcentral also lists the same sequence under 1 other name. The record is from Rfam by way of RNAcentral. Lineage: Eukaryota; Metazoa; Chordata; Mammalia; Rodentia; Sciuridae.
GGAGUUGUAGCUCAGCGAUAGAGUGCUCACCUAGCACAUGUGAGGCCCUGGGUUCAAUCCUCAGCACCA